RNAcentral lists this unclassified non-coding RNA (305 nucleotides) under plant metagenome. RNAcentral describes it as "partial contains 5.8S ribosomal RNA, internal transcribed spacer 2, and large subunit ribosomal RNA". The stretch from base 1 to 105 matches the Rfam family "5.8S ribosomal RNA", at positions 50 to 154 of the family's 154-position model. The record is from RNAcentral.
GAAAUGCGAUAAGUAGUGUGAAUUGCAGAAUUCAGUGAAUCAUCGAAUCUUUGAACGCACAUUGCGCCCUUUGGUAUUCUUUAGGGCAUGCCUGUUCGAGCGUCAUCUAAACCUUCAAGCCCUGCUUGGUGUUGGGUGCCUGUCCCGCCUCCGCGCGCGGACUCACCUCAAAUCCAUUGGCGGCCCCCGCGUCGGCCACGAGCGCAGCAGAAACGCGAACUCGUGAGCCCGUCCGGGCGGCUCCCAGAAGCUACACCCACCCAGUUUGACCUCGGAUCAGGUAGGGAUACCCGCUGAACUUAAGC